Molecule: long non-coding RNA, 1927 nt
Organism: Seriola aureovittata
Lineage: Eukaryota; Metazoa; Chordata; Actinopteri; Carangiformes; Carangidae
Exons: 2
Source: RefSeq, a predicted model, not a curated record
CAAAGUCUUGGCUAUAAGGCUUAUUGAUGAGUGGGUAACUUAUCAACAUAUAUCCACUUAUCACGCCUUAUUUCUUCAGACACAGAUCAGUAAGUCAAGCUGACACAAGAUAACAUUUAUUCUAUGGAAAUUUCUCAUUCGAAUGUGUUGAUGCAAAACCUUCAUCACCUGAAGAAUAAUGUCAGGGGAGUAUUUUAUUUUAAGAUAAAUUUGGGGCAAAAUGGCUGCUUUGAUUGAGAUUAUGUAAGACUGGUCCUGGCACAGCUAUUACUGAUUCAUUUUACACACAGUGUCUACGUUUAGCUGCUGGGCAUAACAUACACCUGUCAUGGUGAAUGGAAUAAAUAGAAAGCUAUAUUAGAUGAAUAGGAAUUGCUGACAGUUGAGGAAAUCGGUUAUUGGGGUAUUUAACCCCGGGUUUAGCCUGCCAGGCUACACUUGUUUCCCGUGGUUGUGUAUUGCCUUCACAAGGGACACGUUUUACCAGAAUACAUCGUUACAUUUUUCGAGGUUCAGUUGGGACCGGAGUUGGCAGCUGACUGGGAAAAUCUGCCUGAGAGUCUGAACAAAGGGUCAAAUAAAACACACAACCCCACCCCCCCUUACCCUCGCUUCCUGUUUUGGAGCAGGAGGGGGGGAGGGUCGGUCCUGUCGGGUUGAUUCACUCUGUCGACCUCCGAACGGUGGCGAUCUUUGCCGAACUCGUGCACCGGCGGUAGUGCUGCUGCUGCUGUUCGUGCUGCGUGUCCUCGUCGCAGCUCCACCGUCCAUCUCUGACACUGUUUCCAUCAUGGUGGACAUUUUGUUGUUGAUGUUCUUCGCCAUUAUGGGCCUCGUCUUCCUCUCCUACAUCAUCUACAUGCUGUGAUGAUGAGGAUGAUGAUGAGGAUGAUGAGGCGUCCCGCUCAGCGACACAGGCGGCCGGUACACGGGCGUGCGCAGGAUGUGUGUUUUUCCUCUCCUGCAUCCCUGGUUUCCAUCAUGGACAAUGGGAGAAGAGCCAGGGCCAAGCCGUGAUGGUUUCCCCCAUCAGAGCUCUCUCAGGUGGGAUGUGAAGAGCGGAUCUCCCGCGGAGAGGAAAAACAAAUGAAGAAGAGGUGGAGGCCAAACUCUCUCAGCCUCUCUAUCCUCCCACUUGCACCCUGUCAUUGUUCCCAGCCCUCCUGUAAAGGAUCAGACCGGUCUGGCUAAGAUCCUCCAACAGAAUUUCACUCCAAAGUCCCCCACUUACUUACCUGCAGUCAAUCCAACCCAUGUGUAUUUUCUAUCAAGGCUGUGCAUGCCCAUGUUCCUCUGUAGAGGAGGAGAAAUGUUACCUCUGCACAAGUCCAAAAAAAGAUGGAUGCAGGAUGGUUUUUGUAGGUUUGAGUGUAGAAUUUGCCUUUUUUAUAACACUGUGAGCUAAUUACUGGUCCCACCUUUGAUGUGUAGUGUUCAGUUUAACAGUAUUAUCCAUAUGAUUAUCCAUGUGUGGCCAACCCUUCUGUCCUCAUAGGUUUUUUUUUAAAUUUCAUCAGCUUUGUGUUUUAUCAGAUGCCUCGGUCGGCUCAGCCUUCACAUCAGUGUUAAUAUUACUUUAUCAUGUGUUGCCAAUAUGUUCUCCUCCUCACUGCAAUCAAGAUUCCCCAUCAGGUCAGCGGGGAACGGGUCAGUAGAACAAUAACUCUCACUUCAGUGGAAGUAAGAGGCCACACCAUAUCAGUUGCCCAUGUUGCUCUGCUACUGUGUUUGUCUUAAUAAUAUUUUGGCUGCAAAUGACACUCAUGAAGAGCGACGGUGUCAUUUCACAAGUCAGUCCACUGUACGUGCUUUUCAUUUUUACCACCAAACCUCAUAUUAAUGAUGUUCAGUUUACCGAUGCACUGAUGAUUUACAGAGAUUAAUGACAGUAUUUAUCGAUAUGUCAAAUAAAGAUGAUUUCAGUAAA